AUUGCUUGAUCUUGGAAGGUUGAGGCUGCAGUAAGCUGUGAUCACGCCACUGCACUCCAGCCUGAGUGACAGAGCAAGACCCUGUCU
This is a microRNA precursor of Pan paniscus (pygmy chimpanzee), 87 nucleotides long. The record is from Ensembl. Lineage: Eukaryota; Metazoa; Chordata; Mammalia; Primates; Hominidae.